CCUACGGGUGGCAGCAGUGGGGGAUAUUGCACAAUGGGGGAAACCCUGAUGCAGCGACGCCGCGUGUGGGAAGACGGUCUUCUGGAUUGUAAACCACUGUCCCCAGGGACGAAAAUGACGGUACCUGGGGAGGAAGCUCCGGCUAACUACGUGCCAGCAGCCGCGGUACUACGUAGGGAGCAAGCGUUGUCCGGAAUUACUGGGUGUAAGGGGAGCGUAGGCGGGGAUGCAAGUUGGGUGUCAAAACUACCGGCUCAACCGAUAGUCGCACUCAAAACUGGAACUCUUGAGUGAAGUAGAGGCAGGCGGAAUGCCUGGUGUAGCGGUGAAAUGCGUAGAUAUCAGGAGGAACACCAGUGGCGAAGGCGGCCUGCUGGGCUUUUACUGACGCUGAGGCUCGAAAGUGUGGGGAGCAAACAGGAUUAGAUACCCUAGUAGUC
Molecule: ribosomal RNA, 440 nt
Filed under: uncultured bacterium
Lineage: Bacteria
Description: partial 16S ribosomal RNA
Rfam family: Bacterial small subunit ribosomal RNA
Source: RNAcentral